CUGAAAUGCAGUCGACUUUAGCGUUUGAUAGUUCAUUGAUAACAUUCUGGCGUAUCACAAACAAACAACUUGUUACGUCUCAUUUCAUUGGCCGAAAGAUUUAAAACAACAACAAUGUAAUAAGCGUGCACGUGAAUUGACACAGGUGACCGACAAUGGAAUUUACUAUGUUACUACGAACGUAAAAACAAUGAUUUGUAUAGUUUACAAACCUUUGGUCAAAAGAAAUAAAUAAAUGUUUUAUUAACUUCAAAAAGUGGGGUCGAAAUAUUAUACUGAUAGUUAUUAACUUCAAAUAGUGGGGUCGAAAUAUUAUACUGAUAGUUUGUUUUAAGUAAUAUUCUAAGUUCUUUGCAUGCAGCAACUCAAUUAUCUUGUACCCGGCAUGAUGAGAAAUAUAAGGAUAAAAUAAAAUACAUGUGCCGCUUUUAUACGGAUGAAUAUAUGAACCACUUUUAAUUUCUUUCAUACUGACGAUAGGUUAUAAUCCUAACAAUGUCGUAGUCACUUAUAAUAAGUAUCUCAUAAUACUGAUCCAUUACAAUCAUUAAUCAGUGGUUGCACUGACAUUCCUCUUUUAUUAUUUUCAUGCUAUAAAACAUACACACAGUACAAAAAUGUAGCUAUAAGCGUACCAUAAACGGAGGAAAUUGUCCCCCAAAGAUAGAAACAAAAUAACUUUAAUCGUAUCAUUGGUGCACCUGAAUGAAUUCAGUGAAGGCAUGUUGUUGUAAUAAAUUGAAUGUUACAUCGGCGAAGAUUAUUUCUUAUGCAUGUGUGGAACUAAAUAAUAAAUUAAUACUUGUGAGAAAUCGUAGUUUAUAAGGAACAAUUCUCUUGUUUGAAUUCGGGGCCUUUUAUAGCUGACUAUGCGGUAUAGGGCUUUGCUCAUUAUUGAAAGCCGUAAGGUGACCUAUAGUUGUUAAUUUCUGUGUCAUUUUGGUCUCUUGUGGAUAGUUGUCUCAUUGGCAAUCAUACCACAUCUUCUUUUUUUAAAUAUAAAUGUACUGUUUUCGAUUUUAAAUGGAUGAACAUUUAUCUUUCAAUUUUAUACUGUAAGAAUAGAGCUGCAUAACAUUGUUGAACUUUCCGCUAAAGUAUAUGUAGUAUUAUUCGUAUUUAAAAUGAAAUACAAAACGAAACGUGUAUG
Molecule: long non-coding RNA, 1150 nt
Filed under: Mytilus galloprovincialis (Mediterranean mussel)
Lineage: Eukaryota; Metazoa; Mollusca; Bivalvia; Mytilida; Mytilidae
Source: RNAcentral